This 447-nucleotide ribosomal RNA is filed under the name uncultured bacterium. Its description in RNAcentral is "partial 16S ribosomal RNA". It matches the Rfam family "Bacterial small subunit ribosomal RNA", at positions 29 to 523 of the family's 1533-position model. The record is from RNAcentral.
AGCGAACGCUGGCGGCAGGCUUAACACAUGCAAGUCGAACGCCCCGCAAGGGGAGUGGCAGACGGGUGAGUAACACGUGGGAACGUACCCUUUGGUUCGGAAUAACUUGGGGAAACUCAAGCUAAUACCGGAUAAGCCCUUAUGGGGAAAGGUUUACUGCCGAAGGAUCGGACCGCGUCUGAUUAGCUAGUUGGUGAGGUAAUGGCUCACCAAGGCGACGAUCAGUAGCUGGUCUGAGAGGAUGAUCAGCCACACUGGGACUGAGACACGGCCCAGACUCCUACGGGAGGCAGCAGUGGGGAAUAUUGGACAAUGGGGGAAACCCUGAUCCAGCCAUGCCGCGUGAGUGAUGAAGGCCUUAGGGUUGUAAAGCUCUUUUACCCGGGACGAUAAUGACUGUACCGGGAGAAUAAGCCCCGGCUAACUACGUGCCAGCAGCCGCAGUAA